Molecule: long non-coding RNA, 1440 nt
Organism: Eleginops maclovinus (Patagonian blennie)
Lineage: Eukaryota; Metazoa; Chordata; Actinopteri; Perciformes; Eleginopidae
Exons: 2
Source: RefSeq, a predicted model, not a curated record
ACAGGAGGCGCAGGAGAGGCCCGGGCUUCUAAAGGACACCAACAGGUGGGAGGCCGCUUAGGAGGGGGGCGCUCCUGGCGGGAUAGAAAAGGCCGGUCUGCAAGGCCUGUAGUGAGCACAAUCCACCGGGCCAGAUAUGGAGGAGGAUGGUUGAUCGCAGAAGGUGAAGAGAGGCGAGGGGCAGGAGGAAGCUCAGGGAGAGUUUGAGAUGAGUUUUGGCGUCAAAGGGUGGAAAGGGCAGCUUCAGUAAGGUUUGUCUCAGAGUUCAGUCUUUAAAAAAAAACUCUGUUUUUUGCCAACUUUUUGUAGAAAGCUUCACUUUUUUUGGUUUAGUGUAAAACAAUUAAUAUUUGACAUCCACAUGUGGACAGUGCAGUGAUGUGGUAAUCUGAAUCAAUAGUCUUCCAGAUUCAGAUGUCGUAGACUUUUCCAUGACCUGCAGCACCAUGUGAGUGAAAUCAGGCGUCAAAGCAAAUGUUAGAUGUUUAGAUUUACGAUAGACACGCUGUGGCAGAGCCUGACACCUCUGUCAGGUUAGGGGAAGAUGAGGUGUGAUACAGGAAAGAAUCAGGGAAUUAUCUUCACAGUUUAAUUAGAGUAGAAGGUUGAGUUUCUCAUGGCCAUGUUGUUCAGAUCUGGUUAAAAUAGCAGCAUGUAGAUAUAUUGGGGAAGUCACCAGUAGACAGAGUAGGAGAGGCUGGCUGAACCCAAUGUUGCCUCAAGCUCAACUCCAGCUUCAGAAAACCACAAGAGGAGAUGCAGGAGCAUUAAAUAAAGGUAAGGCUGAAGAGGACAUGAAGGCCACACAGAAGAUGUCCACCUUCCAUUUCCUCUCUUUCUACUCUCCCAUAUCCUUCUAUUUCUACGUCCUUUACCUCCUGUACCCUGCCCUCCUUCCUCCUGCUGUCACUGCCCUUUGCAGCCGAAGCAACACACCUUGCUGUGGCUGGUCAAACGGAACCAAGUCAGGUGUUUCUGUGAGGUUUGGUCCCCUUCAACCAGCUACUGCGUCGUGAAUUCAUUCAGCGUGGAAUCAAGGACACAGUGGCAUUGUGUUGUAUGUUUUAAAGAGGUGUUAGUUUAUUGAAAGUGAUGUUAUUUAUUUUCUUUUGUAGUUUUGGUUUCCUGCAUGGUAAUUUAUGUUUGAAAAAGCAAAUGAAUUAUUUCUUACAACAUCAAGUGUUAAAUUAAAUGUAUUCUGAAUGUAUAAAGUGAUAACCAAAUGUGAAAUAUGUUUUGUAGAGUCAACUUUCCCUAUACAAGCCCAUUUAAAAAUAUUUUUGUGUAUGUUUGUAGGGGUUUUCUUCCAUUUAUUAUUUAUAGUUGUAUAAAAUGUGUAGCAUUUGUCCAAGUGUUACUAGUAUAAUGAGAAGUCAUUAUGUACACUCAAUGUCUGAUAUAACAUUCUGCGUUGUCUCAAAUAAAAACGUGAUUCAUACA